GAUGAAGAACGCAGCGAAAUGCGAUAAGUAGUGUGAAUUGCAGAAUUCCGUGAAUCAUCGAAUCUUUGAACGCACAUUGCGCCCCUUGGUAUUCCAUGGGGCAUGCCUGUUCGAGCGUCAUUUGUACCUUCAAGCUUUGCUUGGUGUUGGGUGUUUGUCUCGCCUUUGCGUGUAGACUCGCCUUAAAAUAAUUGGCAGCCGGCGUAUUGAUUUCGGAGCGCAGUACAUCUCGCGCUUUGCACUCAUAACGACAGCGUCCAAAAGUACAUUUUACACUCUUGACCUCGGAUCAGGUAGGGAUACCCGCUGAACUUAAGCAUAUCAAUAAGCGGAGGA
This 336-nucleotide unclassified non-coding RNA is filed under the name soil metagenome. Its description in RNAcentral is "partial contains 5.8S ribosomal RNA, internal transcribed spacer 2, and large subunit ribosomal RNA". The stretch from base 1 to 120 matches the Rfam family "5.8S ribosomal RNA", at positions 35 to 154 of the family's 154-position model. The record is from RNAcentral.